UACGUAGGUGGCGAGCGUUGUCCGGAUUUACUGGGCGUAAAGCGCGCGUAGGUGGCCCCUUAAGUUUAGGGUGAAAUCUCUCGGCUCAACCGGGAGGGGUCUUUAGAUACUGGGGGGCUUGAGGGCAGCAGAGGUCGGUGGAAUUCCCGGUGGAGUGGUGAAAUGCGUAGAUAUCGGGAGGAACACCAGUGGCGAAGGCGACCGACUGGGCUGACCCUGACGCUGAGGUGCGAAAGCGUGGGGAGCGAACCGG
RNAcentral lists this ribosomal RNA (253 nucleotides) under uncultured bacterium. Its description in RNAcentral is "partial 16S ribosomal RNA". It matches the Rfam family "Bacterial small subunit ribosomal RNA", at positions 524 to 776 of the family's 1533-position model. The record is from RNAcentral.